RNAcentral lists this ribosomal RNA (427 nucleotides) under uncultured bacterium. Its description in RNAcentral is "bacterial SSU rRNA". It matches the Rfam family "Bacterial small subunit ribosomal RNA", at positions 355 to 774 of the family's 1533-position model. The record is from RNAcentral.
UGGGGAAUUUUGGACAAUGGGCGCAAGCCUGAUCCAGCAAUGCCGCGUGCAGGAUGAAGGCCUUCGGGUUGUAAACUGCUUUUGUACGGAGCGAAAAGGUCUGCCCUAAUACGGUGGGCUCAUGACGGUACCGUAAGAAUAAGCACCGGCUAACUACGUGCCAGCAGCCACGGUAAUACGUAGGGUGCGAGCGUUAAUCGGAGUUACUGGGCGUAAAGCGUGCGCAGGCGGUUAUGCAAGACAGAGGUGAAAUCCCCGGGCUCAACCUGGGAAUUGCAUUGGGGACUGCAAGGCUAGAAUCUGGCAGAGGGGGGUAGAAUUCCACGUGUAGCAGUGAAAUGCGUAGAUAUGUGGAGGAACACCGAUGGCGAAGGCAGCCCCCUGGGUCAAGAUUGACGCUCAUGCACGAAAGCGUGGGGAGCAAACA